Molecule: ribosomal RNA, 201 nt
Filed under: Vigna unguiculata (cowpea)
Lineage: Eukaryota; Viridiplantae; Streptophyta; Magnoliopsida; Fabales; Fabaceae
Description: partial 18S ribosomal RNA
Source: RNAcentral
UGCUGCUCGUGGUUGGUGGGGGGUGGACCGUCUUGUGGUGUGGUGUCUUGCGAACGUGAGGGUGUGUGAGUUGUAAUCGAGAUGCACUUGCUGGCUGGCUCCAUGCCUUGCGUAUCGAACGGUCAAGCAUGCAUCUCUUCCAUUUUCACCCGUUGCCUUGGGUGAUAUUGGUUGAUCAGUCCCUGUCUUGCCUACCCUCUA